AUUGAACGCUGGCGGCAGGCCUAACACAUGCAAGUCGAGCGGAUGAAGGGAGCUUGCUCCUGGAUUCAGCGGCGGACGGGUGAGUAAUGCCUAGGAAUCUGCCUGGUAGUGGGGGAUAACGUCCGGAAACGGGCGCUAAUACCGCAUACGUCCUGAGGGAGAAAGGGGGGGAUCUUCGGACCUCACGCUAUCAGAUGAGCCUAGGUCGGAUUAGCUAGUUGGUGGGGUAAAGGCCUACCAAGGCGACGAUCCGUAACUGGUCUGAGAGGAUGAUCAGUCACACUGGAACUGAGACACGGUCCAGACUCCUACGGGAGGCAGCAGUGGGGAAUAUUGGACAAUGGGCGAAAGCCUGAUCCAGCCAUGCCGCGUGUGUGAAGAGGGUCCUCGGAUUGUAAAGCACUUUAAGUUGGGAGGAAGGGCAGUAAGUUAAUACCUUGCUGUUUUGACGUUACCAACAGAAUAAGCACCGGCUAACUUCGUG
This 484-nucleotide ribosomal RNA is filed under the name uncultured bacterium. RNAcentral's name for it is "partial 16S ribosomal RNA". It matches the Rfam family "Bacterial small subunit ribosomal RNA", at positions 30 to 507 of the family's 1533-position model. The record is from RNAcentral.